This is a long non-coding RNA of Toxorhynchites rutilus septentrionalis, 1137 nucleotides long. RefSeq lists it as uncharacterized. Lineage: Eukaryota; Metazoa; Arthropoda; Insecta; Diptera; Culicidae. The record is from RefSeq and is a predicted model, not a curated record. The transcript is spliced from 3 exons.
CAAAUAUGAGAGAAUCAUUCAGAUACUUGUAUGAAUGACAGUAAUCACUUGUGUAACAUUACAUGAUUAAAGCAAGAGAGGAACGAAGACUGUUGUUUGCAUAUUUGAGCUGUAUCAAACAUCGCAAACCAUUUUCGAAGCCUACAUACAAGUUUGAACCGCGUAUAUCGUCCCGCUCUACUAUAGCGAAACCCACUGCACAGACAAGUGCAAAUCAAUAAAUGAUACAAGAAAAAUUACGUCAUCAUUUCGGUCACCAUUUGCGGAGAGCAACAAAUGGGAAAAGAGAGCGGUGUUGCCAGUAAAACUUCGCGGUCUAUAUGAAUAUACAUAUUUCAAGGGAUAGCGGCGUUAAAAAUGGAAAAAUAUGAUCUGUCUACCCUUCCCUUAGCCUCUAUCGAGCUAAAUAAUCAUGUAGUUUGCACUCUCUGAAGGUGGGACCAGAAUGCCGCGUUAUGCGUCACGUUGGAACAGUUGUGCUUUGACAGUUUAUUUUAAAUAUGUGUGUUUCCGUAUAGUCGCCCACAAUGAUGCGUCGUGUCAUUAGCAUCGUUGUACUAAACUCUGACAUUUGUUCUAAACUGCUUGCGUCGAAUAUGUAAAUGUGUUGUUUUUAAAAACAUUCAGCUGAUGCCAUGGACACAACAAGAAAAAGAUUUUCCCACGAUCUGAAAUUCGUUGAAAAUGGAGUGUGAAACAAAUCUAGUUGAAUUUGUGAAAACAAACGAGUGCUUCAGGUCGAAGGAACAUCGACUGUGUGAAACCAGCCACACGAGAUAGAAAAUUUGGACUGAUAUACCAAAUGCACUGAAACAAGGAGUGUUGAAACGAAAGUGGAAGAGCCGUUACGUGAUAGAUAUUCGCGGAAUAAAUGUGCUCCAAGUAUAGGAUUGACACCGAUUGCAGCAUCAUCAUGGCAGUAUUUUGAAGCAUUAAAGAUUUUGUAAUCACUUGUCAGCAAAUGAAGGACAGCCAGCAACUACGACCCUGAACGAUCAGUUCUCAGCACAAAAAUAUUGAUCUUCGCGACAUUAAGCUGAUGGUGAAAACAAUGCAUGCAGCAAAACCUCCGAGACAUGAUUCAUUCGGAAAAAGUCGGGUGGGUAAUGUCGGGGACAUAACCGGAGUGACGUAGGA